Molecule: ribosomal RNA, 253 nt
Filed under: uncultured bacterium
Lineage: Bacteria
Description: partial 16S ribosomal RNA
Rfam family: Bacterial small subunit ribosomal RNA
Source: RNAcentral
GGCGAACCGAGCGAACGUUGUUCGGAAUCACUGGGCUUAAAGGGCGCGUAGGCGGGCUGUCAAGUCUGGGGUGAAAUCCCGCGGCUCAACCGUGGAACUGCCUCAGAUACUGACGGUCUCGAGGGAGGUAGGGGCGAGCGGAACUGAUGGUGGAGCGGUGAAAUGCGUUGAUAUCAUCAGGAACUCCGGUGGCGAAGGCGGCUCGCUGGACCUCUUCUGACGCUGAGGCGCGAAAGCCAGGGGAGCAAACGGG